Long non-coding RNA from Oncorhynchus tshawytscha (Chinook salmon), 1318 nucleotides. RefSeq lists it as uncharacterized. The transcript has 2 exons. Lineage: Eukaryota; Metazoa; Chordata; Actinopteri; Salmoniformes; Salmonidae. The record is from RefSeq and is a predicted model, not a curated record.
UACAGAAUCACAGUUUAAGUAUUGUGGAGAGGGGUGUGAUGAAGGCAGGCUGGGCAGUUACUACAAUGGACAAUGUGAUAAUGACAGGCACGUUAGAUUUGAGAAAAGCAGACGUUCACUUUAUGAGUGACACAAUGCUUAACUAUUGCAUACUACUCUCUAAUGCAGUAGGGGAAGCAGACAGACAAGUAAAAUAGGCGUGGGGAAUAACUCCCGAGGGGGGACAUGACGUAGUGCCAGGACAGUGGGUGAUGGUAAAAAAACAUGUUAGACAUUCUAGCCAAAAUGAGAAGGUCCUUAUCAAGUUUUGCUCAUAACGAGGUCAGCAGUAAAAAUCCAGGGAACAUCGCGAUGGAUACAUCAUUACAAGGUUGUCCAUUUUGAUGACACGGGGGAUUGAUUAGCAACCAGGGGCGAAUCUCGGGUGAAGAAGCAUAGUAAGAUGAUCAGAACCUGAUAAUCUUCUAUGUUGUACACAGCAAUCGUCAUAUUAUGGAUAUCUAGGUUAUAAGAAUAUAUUGUCUGAAGCUGCAGUAAUAUCCCUUGACCCAAGGACUGUACCUGAAAUGACACAAGAUCACCGGUGAAGUGUUCAUUAGAGAAGUCCUUAUCAACCAGCGGAAUGGAAGAAUAAUUCCUCACUACCGGCAGACUGUCAGAACAUAAUCUCUAAUAGUUCUCCAUUUGGGACUGAUACCAGUGUGGAAGAGCUGGUCACUUUUAAAUGACUUGGUGAAUGAUUACCUUGUCUACAAGAAAAUAAUAUUAAAUCGUCCUAUUGGGAAUCAUUUUUUGUGUGAGUUUCCUCCUAAUACAGGAUGUGGUAGGAAUCGUAAGGGACAUCAUCAUUACACCUGUUUAAUACUUAUUUUAUAUAACUUUGUUUGAAAUCAAUUUCUUAUUGUAAAAAGUAAAAUAAGUCAAAUAUGCCCUUUGUGUUUUAUAGAAAUGCAAUGUGUUUAAUGUAAAUUAUUUUAUGUUUAAUGCUAAUGUUUUUUUUAUUCAUGUUUUCUAAAAAUACAUUUUAAGUAUAUAUAUAUAUAUUUUUUAAUGGUCUAGCGUGGAGUGUAAGAAGAUUUCCAAGUUCUCAUUGGUCCAAAUUGUUUAUACAUUGAACCUGAAAUAGGAUACUUGGCCCAGUUUUAUUGCAAGGAAUUCUAAUUGGUCAGCCACAGGCUAGGGCUGGGUUAUAAAACUACAUCCUGUGCCUUUGUUCUGAAGAGAGAAUCACAGGAGAAAAUCACUGAGGACAGGGGAGAAAGAACAUCUACCUCCCCGCAUGAUUUGUCCUAUUUGAAUAAAUAUUUUCCUCCCCCGA